Molecule: non-coding RNA, 4959 nt
Organism: Triticum urartu
Lineage: Eukaryota; Viridiplantae; Streptophyta; Magnoliopsida; Poales; Poaceae
Source: RefSeq, a predicted model, not a curated record
GCUGCCCCCCAGUUUGGAACAAAACGAGCACAGAGCAGAGGCAGGGAGGGCUUAAUUCGGGGCUCCGGUGGCGGGCCUCGCCGGCCGUGUGCUCCGGCGGCGAACUCGGGCGAUCGAUCUCGCCACGGUAAUGACGUACGGCGCUCCGAGGUCCAGCGCUCCAUCCCCGCGCCACCAUUCCCCACCUCGGCGCCACGCCCGGCGACAGAUCCGCAUCCGCCGACGCCGGGCAGGAGAACUCCAGCCUUCAGGGAAUGAUGGGGUCAAUGGCAAGUAUUGCUCCAAGUGCCAGGUCAACUACAGCGAUGGGACUUGAAGAUCAUGCCAACAACUUUUCCUCGCCGUCGACGGCCACCGCGUGCAAGGAGGGAGACGCGCUGAACUCUCCUCCCUGCCGGCACUCCCGCCGCCCGCCGCCAUCUCUGCCUGGCUUCCCCUUCACAGUGGCUGCGCCGUUCGCUUCCUUCCCCAGAGGCCACGGCCUCCUCCUCACAGAACUGCCUCCUCUAUGGAUGAUGAUUUGGGCUAUGUCAAGAUUAUUAGGACGAGAAGUAAGAUGAGCUUGCUAUUGUCAAGAUGAUUGGGGCUUUGCUAGGCACAAGUGCCUCUUGUUGGAAUUUGUCCAUCUGUAGGAGAAUCUCCGUUGUCACCGGAUCCAACGAACCAAGGCCAGAAUGUAGAUUUUCACCUUGAAGAGCAGUCCGAGCAUAUCCGAGCAAUGCCUUCAACAAGGUAACGAUGUAAAAACAUUGCCAUUGGCAGGUAUAACUAACACGGGUGAUGGGUCAGACCUAGGCUUUCACCUUGGAGCUCGAGACCGGGUGCUUGAGUAACACCACCAUCGACACCACUCAUGUGUUGUCGCCACCACUUUUUAGCGAUCCCAACAACUAGAUGCGAUGUGCGACCGCCACUAGUGCACAACCAUCUCUCCGCCUCAAGUUGUCACCCAUAGUUUGCAUCUCCCAGCCGAAGCCAACCAUUGGAUCUAGAGAGAGGAACCCUCACAAAGAUCUUUUGGUGGCCACCGCAGUCAGCAGCGUGUCCGCCGCCACAGGACGGAGUGGUCACCACAAGGACUAACACCGUUGGUGGAGCACACCGCCGUCGACUACCACCUUGUCUAAGGGAACCCUGCUCAGGCCCGUCCGCCACUGGGUCGACAUGGCCAGAGCUGGACCAUGAAAGACAUAUCACCAUCGCUGACAUGCGCUCGUGUGGAGCACAGCCGCUGCUAGAAUAGAAGCGCCAGAUCAGUGUUGUGCCUCCUGACCGAAGCAUUGCGCCCACCCUGAGCAUGUCCUCCGCCGCAGGCCGGAGUGGUCACCACAAUGACCAACACCGUUGGUGGAGCACACCACCGUCGGCUACCACCUCGCCGGAGAGAACCCUGCACAGGCCCGUUCGCCCCUGGGUUGACAUGGCCAGAGUUGGAGCAUGGAAUACAUAUCACCAGCGUUGACGUGCGCCUGUGCGGAGAGCAGCCGCUGCUAGGUCAAAAGUGCACAACCGCUAGAUCGACGUCGUGCCUCUUGACCGAAGCACUACGCCCAUCCCGAGCACGUCCGCCGUCACACCUCCACCACGCCGCCACACCGCAGCCUCGCAUCUGUGCCACCGUCGGAAACCCGCGGUCGCGGCACCGCGCACCAUGUUGAGGCUCACACCCACGCAAAGUCAGGACGUCCUGCGCCGCGAGCCAACCCCGCGAGAGGGAUGAGAAGCCUUGCCGCCCCCGGCGCCGCACUCUGGCAGCACCCUUCGGCGACGGCGAUGGAGAGGAGGGGAUGGGAGGCGACCAAGUUUUGGCGGCGCUAGAGCUCCCCCGGGAGUGGCAUGUGACCUAUGUUUUUAAAGCGUCCCUAAGGCGACGCCUAGGCGUCGAAGCGCUCCCCCUCCGCUUUGGAAAAUCGACCGCUUUGGGCGCCUAGGCGUCCAAAGCGCCCGCCUAGGCGCCAAAGCGCCCCCCCUCCCUAAGGCGGUAAGGUGUCGCCUUAAAAACAUAGCAUGUGACGAUCUAUUUUUUGCGGCUGCUUGCUGAACUUUCCUAAGGUUAGUUAAGUAGAACUAGAGCCACAAGUUGCAAGACUAAAAAAAAUCUUACCACACCUUAAGAGUGUAUGUCAUGUAGGGCCAUAAUGUGGCAAAAGAAUGUUUAAAUAGCAGGUUAUGGCAUAUAGCGGCGACCUUUAAGUAGAACUAGAGCCACAAGUUGCAAGACUAAAAAAAUCUUACCACACCUUAAGAGUGUAUGUCAUGUAGGGGCAUAAUGUGACAAAGAAUGUUUAAAUCUCACCACCGCUAUAGCUGGGCUAUAGCGGUAAAUUAUACAUGAAAUCAUUUAGCGGCAACAUGCUCAAACAGCUAUAGUGGAGCUAUAGCGGGCUAUUUAAAACUAUGGGCAAAACACAUCUUGCCUGAGGUGUGGCUUGAACCAAACAACCACCUAAGAGUAUCUACAAUCCUAGUUGCCUAAUUUGGGGCCCUAUGCUCCCGCGGACAUGGUCGGGUGCGUCCGCGUCAGUGACCGGGCACGCCCCUUUUGUCCCUGUCCACAACCAUAAUCCCCAUAUGUCGGCACCCAAAUCCAUACAUAACAAUGCAUAGGUACGUAUAUCAUCAUACAAAAGCAUAAACAAAACACUCGGACAUAGAUAGGGGAAUCUGACAUAGAUAAGUUCAUACAACUCCAUCCAAAAGGGCCGCUGGAGUUCAUACUUAACUAAAAUGCAAGAUUAAAGAGUAAUUAAACAUAGAGAGGCGGCCGGAGUUCACCACUAACCUCGCCGAUCGCUUCCCCUUGGGGUCUCGGGAGCGGCGGUUGUCCUCGGCGUUGGCGACGGGUGAAGCAUCCUUGUCCGUCAUGUCGCUAUCCGAGGAGGAGCUCAUGAUCCCCGCCAUGCGUCGGGCAGCGCGGUUCUGCUCCGCCGCGAGCCAUGCGGCUCUCUCCGACACCACCGCCCUUUGCCUCGCCAACCUCUCAAACUUCUUCGCAAAGGUGUACGGACAACAUAGAUAGGGGAAUCUGACAUUUUUGUGAUGCCGAGGGCAGGCGCCCAUCUCUGCAAAGGUGUACGGACGACAGAUUGGAUAGCGGAGCGCCUCGACAUCGUUGAAGGCGGGCGACAGCGGCCCGAUGCAGAUAUGUAGGACCUACAACUGGAGCGGUUCGACACGGCCUGCGCCGCAAUCUUCAUUGUGCGGCUAUAUGCGUGCUCCUCGGUCCCCGGCUGUCGCUGUCGCAGCCACAGGUUCGGGAUGCGGGCACUAGCACUCAACGCCGCCCAGGGAGGAGCAGGUGCUGGCGGUGUCAGGCGCCACUUGUCGCCCUACGACCGCGGGGCGCCCCAGAGCUGCUCCUGCCCAUCCUAGCCGCUAGCGACACUGUGGACAAGGAGCUCCCGCCCCGGCCCAUUUGUGAGCGGUGGAGGGUAAUACGAACGAGCUUGGCCUAGUCGAUCUCGUUGGAGCCGCUGUCGGAUGCACUUUCGGCCAUGGUGGAAGGGAGGGGAGAGGUUGGGGAGGGGACGGAGUGGAGCGGAGAGGUCGAGAGAGUGUGGUUUACAAGGGUUCUGUCGUUCAGCAGGGGUAUUUGUGGGGACAGGGGUGUGAACGGACGCUGUUUGGGCGCGUCUGGGCCUUCCCAUAUCCACGCCACAUAUGAGCUGGGUAUGGGGGUUGCCGAACAGCCUGGACAUUUGAAUGCGUUUGGGGAAGGUCGGUUGGGUGGCAUAUUUUGGUCUGGGAAGGCCUCCCAGGCGUUUGGGGGCGAGUAAAUUGCUCAAAACCACUACAUUUGUGGCUAGGGUACUACUAAACCACCGCUUUUGCCGAAAACCACAAAAAACCACCAAUUCUAUGACAAGUGAGUAACAAAUCAUACUAAUUCUGAAAUGAGCUGCGACUAAACACAAAACCGUCCGGUUGGACCCACAUGUCCGAUCGAUGUGGCGAAUCUAUGUGGACAAUGCACCGAUGUGGCAUAUCUUCUUUAACGUAGACACCCCUGAAUAUUAGGCUGGUCAUAGUGGAGAGUAACUUAGACUAGUGUCAUGCAUAUGACACUAAUCUAUGCUACUAACUUCAUAGUGGAGAGUAACGUAGACGUAGUGUCAUAGGUGAUUGUAUUAAUUAGCUUGUAGACUCAUUUUGUCUUGAAAAGUGUUGUCUGAUGGUAAUAUAUUAUAUUACUCCAAAUACCUCUCUCCUCAUUAACUCCAUGCCACAUAAGCAAACUUAUCUUGGGGUGUGUUAUAUUACUACCUAAGUUACUCCCACUAUGACCAGCCUUAAACAAAAAACGCAAUCAGGGCCCUCCCCCUCCCCGUGUACAAUUGAGCGCACCCAGGCCCUUUCUUCGCCGGUGACAGGCGGCGCCGUUGGGAUGGAGGCCGCCGACCAGCGCCGCGCACUCUGCCCUGGCCCUGCCAUCCGCCAUCGGGGGAGGCCGCGACCCUGCCAGCGAGCUGGGUGGCCGAGGGAGACAAAGUACGCCGGGACGCGUUCUGGGGACGACCCGAACGAGGACGCCAAUGAGUGGGGCCAUAUCGUGUCGCCGCGACUGAUGUGGGCCGAGGCCUGGGACCUGCUCCCUCGCCAAUUGAAGCCCAGGGUGGACUACAACCGCGUGGUUAUCGUCUCCAGCAGCGCAGCAGCACGGCGACAUCAGGCCACUCCUUCGAGGACGUGCUUGACCCGGCGCGGGGCGGUUGAGCGCCGGCGAGUCCGGCCUAUCCGUAUCCACACAGAUAGGAAGGGGGGGGGGGCGGGUGGAGCACCAGCAAGAACAACGGCAACAACCCCAGGCCACGAGCACCUUGCUCAAUGAUAACCCACAAGUAUAGGGGAUCGCAACAGUUUUCGAUAAGUAAGAGUGUCGAACCCAACAAGGAGCUAAAGGUAGAAUAAAUAUUCCCUCAAGUUCUAUUGACCAUCGAUACAACUCUACGCACGCUUGAC